Molecule: long non-coding RNA, 932 nt
Organism: Helianthus annuus (common sunflower)
Lineage: Eukaryota; Viridiplantae; Streptophyta; Magnoliopsida; Asterales; Asteraceae
Exons: 3
Source: RefSeq, a predicted model, not a curated record
AUACGUUAGUCAUCAGCCAUAAGGGACCAAAAAGGAACGUGAAUUGGCCAGCAAAACUUACGGCUGACCUUCACUGCAGCCGAGACAUGGCUGAUCAGCCAUUGGCUGAUUUUUAUGGCUCUUAUCUCCCACCUAAAUCACACUUAAUACCCUCUUAACACCAACCCAUUUCCUUAAAUUCCCUAGACAUUUGAAUACUGUAAUGACAAAAGCCUUCACAACCAUUUUACCAUCGCACACCAUCCUCUAUCUCUCUCCACUCUUGAUCGUCUCCCUCCCUCUCUGAUAAGCAAUCAGCCAACCACCAUCACUUGGUGGCGGCGCUCGGAGGCGGCGGCAGAACCACCACAGCAGCAGCACGGUGGUGGGUGGCGUUUCAGUGGUGGUUGCGGCCUAAAGACGGUGGUUACGGGCAGUGGCAGCGGCGACGACGAAGACGACGGUUCUGCCGUUCUUUUCCGGUGAGUUUUAAUUCGUUUUUGGGUCACAAUUCAGUUUAAUUCGAGUUUCGGUUUGUUUGGUCCUGGAACAUCGGGUCAGACUCGGUACGGUCCUUGUUCGGGAUUCGUUUUGCUUUCGGUCAAGCGGGUCAAAUACGGUCAACAUCGCGGACGCACGUCGGAGCUCGACGGAACUUACGGAUCAUCGUUCCACGGUUCGGGUACUUGUUUCGUUCUUUUGGAUUUCUCAAUCUUUACUCGUGCGUUACAAGGAAUUCUUAUACGCAACCAAUGUUGAUGAUGACGAUGCUAUAAAAAGAAGUAGCGUUGAUGCCUAGAUACACAUAUAGACGUUUAGGUUAAUAUGUUGUAUCAAAUUUUGCUUAUGUUGUUAUGUAUUACUUUUUGGAACUUGUUGUCAUUUGAGUUUAUGUAAUGUUGACUAUUUGAAGUUAUGAAAUGAAAUUGGGAUUAUUAAAAUAUUGUCACAAA